This 23-nucleotide non-coding RNA is filed under the name Cricetulus griseus (Chinese hamster). The record is from RNAcentral. Lineage: Eukaryota; Metazoa; Chordata; Mammalia; Rodentia; Cricetidae.
UGGAGUUCUUACAAGAUGGCAGA